GAUGAACGCUAGCUACAGGCUUAACACAUGCAAGUCGAGGGGAAACGACAUCGAAAGCUUGCUUUUGAUGGGCGUCGACCGGCGCACGGGUGAGUAACGCGUAUCCAACCUGCCCACCACUUGGGGAUAACCUUGCGAAAGUAAGACUAAUACCCAAUGAUAUCCCACGAAGACAUCUGAAUGGGAUUAAAGAUUUAUCGGUGAUGGAUGGGGAUGCGUCUGAUUAGCUUGUUGGCGGGGUAACGGCCCACCAAGGCAACGAUCAGUAGGGGUUCUGAGAGGAAGGUCCCCCACAUUGGAACUGAGACACGGGCCAAACUCCUACGGGAGGCAGCAGUGAGGAAUAUUGGUCAAUGGGCGAGAGCCUGAACCAGCAAAGUAGCGUGCAGGAAGACGGCCCUAUGGGUUGUAAACUGCUUUUAUAAGGGAAUAAAGUGGGUCACGUGUGACUUUUUGCAUGUACCUUAUGAAUAAGGACCGGCUAAUUCCGU
This 491-nucleotide ribosomal RNA is filed under the name uncultured bacterium. Its description in RNAcentral is "partial 16S ribosomal RNA". It matches the Rfam family "Bacterial small subunit ribosomal RNA", at positions 28 to 506 of the family's 1533-position model. The record is from RNAcentral.